This 980-nucleotide long non-coding RNA is filed under the name Medicago truncatula (barrel medic). RNAcentral describes it as "lncRNA gene34451". The record is from RNAcentral. Lineage: Eukaryota; Viridiplantae; Streptophyta; Magnoliopsida; Fabales; Fabaceae.
UUUUAUAUAUGUGAUCAAAUAGAGGAUCCAAAUUCUUGUGUUCAUCCAAAAAUUAUUGUCCCUUUUCUUGACUUUCUUGAUACUGUUACAAGGAUUCAAGUCCUUGAACAAAAAGUUGAGCAAAAACCUCCAUCUGUUGCUUGUUCAAAGUCAAACCAAUCUCAAACUCCACCAUCAUUAUUUCUAUUCUCCGAAAGAGAAAAAGCUCCUGUUUUAUCAAUAGAAGUAACAUCAACUUUCUUAGGUUUACCCCAUCCAAAAUCAAAACUAUAAACAUCAAACCUAGGUGACCCGGCAAUAGAAAACAUCCUAUCUGUCUCACUCAUUGUAGAUUGCAUUAUUGACAUCCAAUUCUCCAAACCCUUCAACACACCAUUUUCCAAACCCUUCAACACAUCACUUAUCCCUUCAAGAGCACUAAUAAAUCCAUCAUCUUUUAAAAAUUCCUCGGUUUCACCCAAAACUAAUUUUGACACAACACAAUUUCCAAAAUAAUUUGCAUUAAUUGGUGGAUCCAAACGUGGCCUACAAUCCACACUAAAAAUAAAAGGUACCUUGUUGGAUUUUGGUUGGUCAACUUUUAUCGUACAUGCCAACAAAUAAGCACAAGUAACUGAAAAAGUUGAAAGCUUAAUAACCUUGUUAUUUUUUUCAAUCUUGGAUUGUGCAUGUUUCUUAAGCUUUUGAAUAUCCAAAGGUGACAAUUGAAAAAUACCUUUGGUUGCUUCACCCUUUAUUGUAUUAAUUGUUUCCCAAACCUUCAAGCUUCGAUUAUUUGUUUCUCCACCAAAAUUCAACCACCCUUUUGAAUAAAUCUCAUUUAUCCCUAUAGGGUCUCUUAUAAUGGACCUAUCAAAGAAAGGUGUUAGAUCUUGAGGUAAUGACAAAGAGGGUGUGUUUUUUUCAAGGUUGGAACAAAAAUAAGACCAAGCUUUCAUAAACAAGGUUGAAGAUUUUCCAUCAACAGCUGCAUGGUGUGU